GACGUAGGGGGCUAGCGUUGCUCGGAAUUACUGGGUGUAAAGGGUUCGUAGGCGGUGUGUCAAGUCGGGAGUGAAAUCUCUGGGCUCAACCCAGAGUCUGCUUCCGAAACUGCUGUGCUUGAGUGUGGGAGAGGCGCGUGGAAUUGCAGGUGUAGCGGUGAAAUGCGUAGAUAUCUGGAGGAACACCGGUGGCGAAGGCGGCAUCCUGGACCGGUAUUGACGCUGAGGCGCGAAAGCUAGGGGAGCAAACGGG
RNAcentral lists this ribosomal RNA (253 nucleotides) under uncultured bacterium. RNAcentral describes it as "partial 16S ribosomal RNA". It matches the Rfam family "Bacterial small subunit ribosomal RNA", at positions 524 to 776 of the family's 1533-position model. The record is from RNAcentral.